CCAGACUCCUACGGGAGGCAGCAGUGGGGAAUAUUGCACAAUGGGGGAAACCCUGAUGCAGCGACGCCGCGUGAGUGAAGAAGUAUUUCGGUAUGUAAAGCUCUAUCAGCAGGGAAGAAAUAGCGACCUUUGGGUCGCCAGACGGUACCUGACUAAGAAGCCCCGGCUAACUACGUGCCAGCAGCCGCGGUAAUACGUAGGGGGCAAGCGUUAUCCGGAUUUACUGGGUGUAAAGGGAGCGUAGACGGCAGCACAAGUCUGAAGUGAAAGGCCGGGGCUUAACCCCGGAACUGCUUUGGAAACUGUGCAGCUAGAGUGCAGGAGAGGUAAGUGGAAUUCCUAGGGUAGCGUCGAAAUGCGUAGAUAUUAGGAGGAACACCAGUGGCGAAGGCGGCUUACUGGACUGUAACUGACGUUGAGGCUCGAAAGCGUGGGGAGCAAACAGGAUUAGAUACCCCAGUAAA
RNAcentral lists this ribosomal RNA (464 nucleotides) under uncultured bacterium. RNAcentral's name for it is "bacterial SSU rRNA". It matches the Rfam family "Bacterial small subunit ribosomal RNA", at positions 331 to 794 of the family's 1533-position model. The record is from RNAcentral.